This 328-nucleotide long non-coding RNA is filed under the name Glycine max (soybean). RNAcentral's name for it is "long non-coding RNA (GMAX_LNC001596)". The record is from RNAcentral. Lineage: Eukaryota; Viridiplantae; Streptophyta; Magnoliopsida; Fabales; Fabaceae.
CUUGGAUGAGCUUCUUCACAAACAACUCAUCGCUGACAUGCGCGCUUCUUCCCUGCAACCACGAUUAGCAACCAUCACCAUUAACAGAAAUUAUAUGGAACCCGCGAACUUAGAUAAUAACAGUACACGAACCCCUUAACCAAAAACAAGCUUCAAAUAACCUUAACCUAACAAAGUUUGUAAGUCACUAGCAAAUCUCUUUCUUCAUGAAACUUCAACCCAGGAACUUGGAGCGUCAAGUCGACCUCGUCCAGUUCAAUGGAAGAAGGCUACAAUGUCGAAGAGAAGAGGUUCAAUGUUGAAUGUCAAAGAAAGGACCAAGCAGAAA